Molecule: long non-coding RNA, 161 nt
Organism: Telopea speciosissima
Lineage: Eukaryota; Viridiplantae; Streptophyta; Magnoliopsida; Proteales; Proteaceae
Exons: 3
Source: RefSeq, a predicted model, not a curated record
CAUUGUGUAACAGGAGGGGAUAAUGGAAGAUUUUGAGAUCUUCACAACAACAGACAUUUUCUAUAUCUUUAGCAAGAGUACCACAAAUUAUAGAACACAUUAAUCAAUAAACAGUAAUAUAUAGUAAAAUUUUAAUAAAUAUUAAAAGUAAAUAUUUUUUG